AUUGAACGCUGGCGGCAUGCCUAACACAUGCAAGUCGAACGGGGGCAGCAAUGCCCUAGUGGCGGACGGGUGAGGAAUACGUAGGAACCGGCCCACGAGUGGGGGACAACCUGGGGAAACCCAGGCUAAUACCGCAUACGCUCGCGAGAGGAAAGCGGGGGACCUUCGGGCCUCGCGCUGGUGGACGGGCCUACGUCCGAUUAGCUAGUUGGUGGGGUAAAAGCCUACCAAGGCGACGAUCGGUAGCUGGUCUGAGAGGAUGAUCAGCCACACUGGGACUGAGACACGGCCCAGACUCCUACGGGAGGCAGCAGUGGGGAAUAUUGGACAAUGGGCGCAAGCCUGAUCCAGCAAUGCCGCGUGGGUGAAGAAGGCCUGCGGGUUGUAAAGCCCUUUAAGCGGGAGGAAAGCCGGGGUGUGAAUAGCGCCUCGGGGUGACGUUACCCGCAGAAUAAGCACCGGCUAACUCCGUG
Molecule: ribosomal RNA, 473 nt
Filed under: uncultured bacterium
Lineage: Bacteria
Description: bacterial SSU rRNA
Rfam family: Bacterial small subunit ribosomal RNA
Source: RNAcentral